CAGCUGGUUAGCUAAAUAACAUUAUGUUCUGUAUCUAGUCUGUCUUGUAAUGUAUGUUUAAGGUUUAAAUAUGAAGUUAAGGCUAAAACUAUAACUUUUUAAUGUUUAAGCCUCCAAAAAAGACCGCGGGAAAGUCUGUGAAAGGAAAGGCUAUGAACGAAGUCAAUGGACUUUCUACAGACAACAUGUCAACUAAACAGCUGAAAGAACAGAUUAUCCAGCUGCGUGAGGAGCUGGAGAAGGAGCGAAAAGAGUGCAAUUACUUCCAGCUUGAGAGAGAUAAAAUACACACUUUCUGGGAGAUCACCAAAGAGCAACUGGAGGAGAAGAAAGCUGAACUUAGGAUGAAGGAGAUUGAAAUGGUAGAAGCUGAAGAGAGUCAUCAGGCUGAAAUCAAGUUGUUCAAUCAGAAAUUUAAACAGUUGCAGUAUGGACGACAAACCCAUAUAACAAAACUUAAGCCAGAAGAAGUGGUUGCCACCAAACUUCAGGAGAAAAAGCAGAUAGACCUGGAGAAUGAGGUGCGGAGAAGAACGCGCGGACUGACAAUGUAUAUGCAAGAACAGAAGUUCUCCUAUGAGUACUACAUAAAUGACCUAAAACUGAGCCACGAUAAUGAAAUCUCCAAGUUGUUAAGUAAAUUUGAGAUGAACGUACAAGAAAUCGAGGCUGGAUAUGAGAGGAAGUUGAAAAAACAGCGAGAGGAGCAAGACCUGAGGUGCAAGACUGAGUGCCAUGAAAUCAUUCGAAAGAAAACCAUCCAUUACAGCACACUGAUAAAGAACCACGACAAAGCGUUCACUGAUAUGAAGAACUAUUACAAUGAAGUGAAUCGUGUGAAUGUCGAGCAUAUCAGCUCACUUCAGAAGCAAGUGGAGGAGAUGAAGAAGACUGAGAAUAGGUUAAAGAGAGAGUUGGCUCAGGUGCGGGAGCAGAAUAAGCGAUUGAUUGAGCCACUGAAGAAAGCCACAGAGGAAGCAUCGGAGCUAAAGAAGCAGCUCGCAAAACAUAACGUGGACAAAGCCAAACUAGCCGAAGUUACUACAAGUCUCAAAAUUGUGGAGAAAGAGCUGAGAAACCUUAAAUGGGAGCAGGUAGUGCUGGAGGAGGCAUUUGAUAGGGUGCAGCAGGAACGUGAUGAACUAUACGAGAAGUUCAACGAGAACUCUUAAUGACACCAUGGAGAAAAAGACACACAGCUUAAUGAGGUUCAGUGCAACAUGGUGACUCAAACACUAGUCUCGUCCUCAGACAUUAUGCCCACAAACUGUUGGCUGAACUUCUGGUUUCAAAGUCAUCAUCUGACCAAUUGGAUUCUAAAGGAUUUUCAGGAGCCGUGUGCGUCACGUUAUUUUUCACUGUCUCCCAGGAAACAAAACUAUGGUGAUGUUCUGCUUCCCUCAUGGAAGAAAGAAGCCAUCAUGUUAACAACUGUGACACUGAGUGUUUACAACCUAAUAUUCGUGGAGAAGUCACUGAAGAAAUCGCUACAAGAGUCAAUAUAGUUGGUCAAGGUACAGCACCCGAAAAUAGAGAUGCUAGCGAGAACCUGGAUACAGAUCAAGGCCCGACUGCAUAUUGGAGAUCAUUGGCCGUUGUACGUCUUCCACUGAUUAAAAACAUUUAGACCAGAUGAAUGCUGGAUGUGUUAAA
This is an RNA transcript of Tachysurus fulvidraco (yellow catfish), 1653 nucleotides long. It is a transcript of the gene named dynein regulatory complex subunit 4-like, with no coding region annotated. Lineage: Eukaryota; Metazoa; Chordata; Actinopteri; Siluriformes; Bagridae. The transcript is spliced from 9 exons. The record is from RefSeq and is a predicted model, not a curated record.